Molecule: ribosomal RNA, 253 nt
Filed under: uncultured bacterium
Lineage: Bacteria
Description: partial 16S ribosomal RNA
Rfam family: Bacterial small subunit ribosomal RNA
Source: RNAcentral
UACGAAGGGGGCUAGCGUUGCUCGGAAUCACUGGGCGUAAAGCGCACGUAGGCGGCUUUCUAAGUCAGGGGUGAAAUCCUGGAGCUCAACUCCAGAACUGCCUUUGAUACUGGAGAGCUUGAGUCCGGAAGAGGUGAGUGGAACUCCGAGUGUAGAGGUGAAAUUCGUAGAUAUUCGGAAGAACACCAGAGGCGAAGGCGGCUCACUGGUCCGGUACUGACGCUGAUGUGCGAAAGCGUGGGGAGCAAACAGG